This 433-nucleotide ribosomal RNA is filed under the name uncultured bacterium. RNAcentral's name for it is "partial 16S ribosomal RNA". It matches the Rfam family "Bacterial small subunit ribosomal RNA", at positions 29 to 507 of the family's 1533-position model. The record is from RNAcentral.
AACGAACGCUGGCGGCAUGCCUAACACAUGCAAGUCGAGCGUGACCUUCGGGUCUCGGGGCGCACGUGUCCGUAUCGCGUGGGACCCUGCCCUUAGCUUAGGCACAACUGCCCGAAUGGGAUUCUACUCCCGGGUAAUGUGUUCGGACCCAUGAUUCAUCGCUCUUGUGUGGGCUCGCGUAGGAUUUCCUGGUUGGUAGGCUAAAAGUCGAACAACAGGACGAUCCAUAGCUGGUCUGCGAGGAGGACCAGCCACACUGGGACUGCGACACGGCCCAGACUCCUACGGGAGGCAGCAGUGGGGAAUAUUGGACAAUGGGCGAAAGCCUGAACCAGCACUGCCGGGUGAGUGACGAAGGCCUUAGGGUUGUAAAGCUCUUUUACCCGGGAUGAUAAUGACAGUACCGGGAGAAUAAGCUCCGGCUAACUCCGUU